UCUCCGUUGGUGAACCAGCGGAGGGAUCAUUACAGGACUCGCAAGACUCCUACAACCCUGUGAACUUAACUAUAAGCACGUUGCUUCGGCGGGUGUCUCGGAGGGGGUUCUCCCUCCCCGAGACGCUAAACCCGCCGGCAGCCUACUAUACUCUGUCUCUUUGCGUUGGCAUCUCGAGUACAAUCAAACAAGUUAAAACUUUCAACAACGGAUCUCUUGGUUCUGGCAUGGAUGAAGAACGCAGC
Molecule: unclassified non-coding RNA, 245 nt
Filed under: plant metagenome
Description: partial contains small subunit ribosomal RNA, internal transcribed spacer 1, and 5.8S ribosomal RNA
Rfam family: 5.8S ribosomal RNA (bases 197-245)
Source: RNAcentral